CAGUCCCGGAGUCGGUGCCUAUACAAGGAGCCGCAUAUUAACUUCUGAAGAGCCGCAUAUGGCUCCGGAGCCACAGGUUGGCCACCCCUGAUCUAGCCUGAUUUCUUGUAUAAUACAGGCCAAAGAAUUUCACCCUGUGAUUCUUGCCUCAAGCCCAUAAGAUAAAUUAUUUGUAUAAUCCACAGCUCUGUGGCGCUGAGCAUAACGGUUCCCCCUCCCUUCAGGUUCUCUUCAUUGAAACAUUGCAGACCCUCAACGAGAUGCUCCUGAGUCUGAUUUUAGAAAAUCCAGUUCUGGCUGAGCUAGAGAGGAUCUUGCAGCUCAUGGACUCCUGGAUGCAGUCCAGGGAAGCUUGCCGGCGGGAGAGGGCUGUAUGGAGCAGCAUACUGCUCCUAAACUUCGUGGCCACAGAAAUCAAACUGGAUGUGAGUAACUCUUCACUUCUAGUGACCUGAUUGCAAACUAGACCUACAGGGCACUCUCCCAUGCCAGAGAAACUUCCUGCUUAGAAGUAUGUUGAUGGGCCCCACAGUGCAAUGCUCCCUAAUAGGCAGAGGAAAAACUGAUCUCGUUGCUCGUCCAUCAUCCUGACUGAGAUGGGUUGGCGUCUGAUACACUUGGAAAAUAAAUCCAAUGCCCUGGAGGAAUAGGCCA
This 654-nucleotide long non-coding RNA is filed under the name Chrysemys picta bellii (western painted turtle). RNAcentral's name for it is "lncRNA (ENSCPBG00000017249.1)". Lineage: Eukaryota; Metazoa; Chordata; Testudines; Emydidae. The record is from RNAcentral.